AGCCCAGGCACACCUCCGUGUGCUUCUCUAGAUUUGCACUCUAGCGUGAACCACCACAGGGCUUG
RNAcentral lists this transfer RNA (65 nucleotides) under Typhlosaurus lomiae. RNAcentral describes it as "tRNA-Cys". Lineage: Eukaryota; Metazoa; Chordata; Lepidosauria; Squamata; Scincidae. The record is from RNAcentral.